RNAcentral lists this ribosomal RNA (387 nucleotides) under uncultured bacterium. RNAcentral's name for it is "bacterial SSU rRNA". It matches the Rfam family "Bacterial small subunit ribosomal RNA", at positions 32 to 399 of the family's 1533-position model. The record is from RNAcentral.
AAUCAACGCUGGCGGCGUGCCUCAGACAUGCAAGUCGAACGCGAAAGUUCCCUUCGGGGGGAUGAGUAGAGUGGCGCACGGGUGAGUAACACGUAGGUAAUCUACCUUUGGAUGGGGAAUAACAACCGGAAACGGUUGCUAAUACCGCAUAAUGCAGCGGCACCUAAUGGUGACAGUUGUUAAAGCGGGGGAUCGAAAGACCUCGCGUCUGAAGAGGAGCCUGCGGCGGAUUAGCAGUUGGUAAGGUAACGGCUUACCAAGGCGACGAUCCGUAGCCGGCCUGAGAGGGCGGUCGGCCACACUGACACUGACAUACGGGUCAGACUCCUACGGGAGCAGCAGUCGGGAAUUUUGGGCAAUGGGCGAAAGCCUGACCCAGCAACGCCG